AAAAAUAUAGGAUAUAGUCUGUUAAUUUUCAAGAUUAAAGGAGUAAUAAUAUAG
RNAcentral lists this transfer RNA (54 nucleotides) under Tetragnatha nitens. RNAcentral describes it as "tRNA-Trp". The record is from RNAcentral. Lineage: Eukaryota; Metazoa; Arthropoda; Arachnida; Araneae; Tetragnathidae.